ACACUCCUGCGGGAGGCAGCAGUGGGGAAUUUUGGACAAUGGGCGAAAGCCUGAUCCAGCCAUGCCGCGUGCAGGAUGAAGGCCUUCGGGUUGUAAACUGCUUUUGUACGGAACGAAACGGCCUUUUCUAAUAAAGAGGGCUAAUGACGGUACCGUAAGAAUAAGCACCGGCUAACUACGUGCCAGCAGCCGCGGUAAUACGUAGGGUGCAAGCGUUAAUCGGAAUUACUGGGCGUAAAGCGUGCGCAGGCGGUUAUGUAAGACAGUUGUGAAAUCCCCGGGCUCAACCUGGGAACUGCAUCUGUGACUGCAUAGCUAGAGUACGGUAGAGGGGGAUGGAAUUCCGCGUGUAGCAGUGAAAUGCGUAGAUAUGCGAAGGAACACCGAUGGCGAAGGCAAUCCCCUGGACCUGUACUGACGCUCAUGCACGAAAGCGUGGGGAGCAAACAGGAUUAGAAACCCCAGUAGUCCCA
RNAcentral lists this ribosomal RNA (473 nucleotides) under uncultured organism. RNAcentral describes it as "partial 16S ribosomal RNA". It matches the Rfam family "Bacterial small subunit ribosomal RNA", at positions 333 to 797 of the family's 1533-position model. The record is from RNAcentral.